AGGCAAUAGAUACCCAGGUAGUCCACGCCCUAAACGAUGUCUACUAGUUGUUGGUGGAGUAAAAUCCAUGAGUAAACGCAGCUAACGCGUGAAGUAGACCGCCUGGGGAGUACGGUCGCAAGAUUAAAACUCAAAGGAAUUGACGGGGGCUCGCACAAGCGGUGGAUUAUGUGGAUUAAUUCGAUGCAACGCGAAAACCUUACCUGGCCUUGACAUGCCACUAACGAAGCAGAGAUGCAUUAGGUGCCCGUAAGGGAAAGUGGACACAGGUGCCGCAUGGCUGUCGUCAGCUCGUGUCGUGAGAUGUUGGGUUAAGUCCCGCAACGAGCGCAACCCUUGCCAUUAAUUGCCAUCGUUUAGUUGGGCACUUUAAUGGGACUGCCGGUGACAAACCGGAGGAAGGUGGGGAUGACGUCAAGUCCUCAUGGCCCUUAUGGCCAGGGCUUCACACGUAAUACAAUGGUCGGUACAGAGAGUUGCCAACCCGCGAGGGGAGCUAAUCUCAGAAAGUCGAUCGUAGUCC
Molecule: ribosomal RNA, 523 nt
Filed under: uncultured bacterium
Lineage: Bacteria
Description: bacterial SSU rRNA
Rfam family: Bacterial small subunit ribosomal RNA
Source: RNAcentral